RNAcentral lists this ribosomal RNA (465 nucleotides) under Campylobacter sp. canine oral taxon 011. RNAcentral's name for it is "bacterial SSU rRNA". It matches the Rfam family "Bacterial small subunit ribosomal RNA", at positions 9 to 488 of the family's 1533-position model. Lineage: Bacteria; Pseudomonadati; Campylobacterota; Epsilonproteobacteria; Campylobacterales; Campylobacteraceae. The record is from RNAcentral.
GAGUUUGAUUAUGGCUCAGAGUGAACGCUGGCGGCGUGCCUAAUACAUGCAAGUCGAACGGAGAUUAAAGUAAGCUUGCUUAUUUUAAUCUUAGUGGCGCACGGGUGAGUAAUGUAUAGCUAAUCUGCCCUACACUAGAGGACAACAGUUGGAAACGACUGCUAAUACUCUAUACUCCUUCUUUACAUAAGUUAAGUCGGGAAAGUUUUUCGGUGUAGGAUGAGGCUAUAUCGUAUCAGCUAGUUGGUGAGGUAAUGGCUCACCAAGGCUAUGACGCGUAACUGGUCUGAGAGGAUGAUCAGUCACACUGGAACUGAGACACGGUCCAGACUCCUACGGGAGGCAGCAGUAGGGAAUAUUGCUCAAUGGGGGAAACCCUGAAGCAGCAACGCCGCGUGGAGGAUGACACUUUUCGGAGCGUAAACUCCUUUUCUUGGGAAAGAAUUAUGACGUACCCAGGNNGCC